This 242-nucleotide unclassified non-coding RNA is filed under the name uncultured Entrophospora. RNAcentral describes it as "uncultured Claroideoglomus sequence contains 18S rRNA gene". It matches the Rfam family "Eukaryotic small subunit ribosomal RNA", at positions 569 to 817 of the family's 1831-position model. The record is from RNAcentral. Lineage: Eukaryota; Fungi; Glomeromycota; Glomeromycetes; Entrophosporales; Entrophosporaceae.
AGCAGCCGCGGUAAUUCCAGCUCCAAUAGCGUAUAUUAAAGUUGUUGCAGUUAAAAGCUCGUAGUUGAAUUUCGGGGUUAGUAGGUUGGUCAUGCCUCUGGUAUGUACUGGUCUCACUGAUUCCUCCUUCCUGAUGAGCCGUAAUGCCAUUAAUUUGGUGUUGCGAGGAAUUUGGACUGUUACUUUAGAAAAAUUGAAGUGUUUAGAGCAAGCUAACGCUUGAAUACAUUAGCAUGGAAUAA